This is a long non-coding RNA of Cyprinus carpio (common carp), 2272 nucleotides long. NCBI's taxonomy places the organism in Eukaryota, Metazoa, Chordata, Actinopteri, Cypriniformes, Cyprinidae. The record is from Ensembl.
AGAGUGUUUUUGCAAAUGCAAUAACAGCCCUCUCUACUAAAAAUCAUGCUUUCAAAGGAGGAAAGGUGACUCUUUCAUGCAACUACAGUGGGAAUAGCAUACAGAGUUGGCAGUGGUACAGACAAUAUCACAAUACUGCACCUGAAUUUCUCUUGCAAGCUUUGGAAAGUUUGGGUCCAGAGAAGAAGGGCCGUUAUGUUGCUGAAGCUAAAAAGAAUAAAAAACAUCUGACCCUGGAGAUCUCCAAAACUGAAGUUGAAGAUGCUGCAAUAUACUACUGUGCCCUGGUGCCCACAGUAACAGGAAACCCUUCAACACUGUACAAAAACCUGAGGGAUAGAAGAAAGAAAGAAAGAAAGAAAGAAAGAAACCAUCAAUGCAAAUAAAGAACCUUUCAUGUGUCCAACUACUGUAAAUGUGCUGAAUUAUGAAUAAUUACAUUGUUCUCUCACAGAUGAUUGAUUCAAAUUAAUUGCUGCAGACACAUGGUGGCAUUAUUACCAUUUUAUAUCUCAUAACACACUGUAGCCUUGUCAGCAGUUUCAUGUGUAUAGCACAGAUAUAAACUGAUAUAAAAUCAGCAGUAUCUAAAAUCAAAUAUACCUUAUACAUCAGUCAGACUGUUAGUCCCUUAAAAGCUACUGUAAUUAGUAAUACAAACUAAUUAGUAAUCUGUAAAGUAAUAGCAUGAAAUAUACAGAAGAUGGCAGUGUUCACUCAGAUUACAGAAGAUUUAAAUCUUCAGUUGGUAUGACAAUUCAAAAAAAAAAAAAAAAAGAAAAGGAAGUGUGCACAAAAUCAGUCAGAGUCUGUGAGUUAUAGAGUUUGAGCUGCUUGUGAUGAUCCAUGAUGUUUCUAUGCAGUGUCUGGUUCAUUCUUCUCUUUUCAGGUGAUGCGGGUGGAGAAGGAAUAGCUCCUCUCUCCUCAUCUAAACUUGCUAACAAUGGUGACUCCAUUACUUUGACCUGCAAUUACAAUGGGUCUUACAGCAGUGAUUCUCUCCUGUGGUAUCGUCAGUACAGCAGCUCCAAACCUCAGUUUUUGUUUCUGGUUAGUGAAUCCGCACUUGAGCAGCCAGCUGACCCUCCAAUACCUGGAGUGACUGCUAAAGUAAAUGAUGAGAAAAACAGUGUGGAUCUGAAGAUCUCCUCUGCUUCAGUAUCAGACUCUGCAAUGUACUACUGUGCCCUGCAGCCCACAGUGACAGGAAACACAUCAACACUGUACAAAAUUAAGGGGAAAACAACUAACUACACUGAUGAACUACACUAAACAACAAAUGAAACCUUUAUACUGUAUGACAGUGUCUUUAUUGUAUGAUGCUCUAAAAAUAGAUUUGCACAAUGCUGCAGAAACAAAAUGGACAUAACCAGAAAGCUUAGCAGAAGGUCAAGCAGUUUUAAAUUGUGUAUCAGGUAAAAUCAAAUGAGCAUUUCUAUAAUACAAGGUUUUCUCUAUCACGUAUUUCUUGAGAUUAGACUGCUACUUGUAAAUCUAGUGGUAAAAGCUAUGAAAGAAAAACAUGUUGAUAAAUAUCUACUAAAGAGACAGACCCUGGUCUCAGAAAUACAGUCAUCUUGAUUUUGUCAUCCAAUACAUCAACCAUUAUGUUUAUCUUCAAACUUAUUAGUUCAUGGAUUCAUCUGGGUGAGAUUAACUCAUGCAAACAUAUUUUUAUUCAUUUAAAUUAAUAUAAAUCAUUUUGAAUUGAACUGGAAUAAUAUUAAAUGUCAUUUUAUUUCAUUACUCGUCCCUAACCAAGCUAUUUAUUUGUUAGAUGCUCAGAGGCAAAUGCAAGCUUCCCACUAUUGCCAUUUAUGAGCACUGUUGUAGGUAAAAAUGUAACCAUAUUCUGUAGUUACAAAAAAUUCAUUGGAAGAGUGGUGAAUGCACAGUGGUACAGAAAGUACGCUGGAUCUUCAUUCUGGAGUUCUUUAUCACAAUCUAUCAACAUGGUCUUUGGCAGCGGCAAAACCAUCUGUUAUCUCACACCUUUCAGGCAAAGCUGCCACAGUACAACUGGGCCAGUGCGCUCACCACACACCAGCUACAGGUGGGGAGGACAGAGAGUCAUAGAGCCAAUCAAGUGGAUGGGGAUUAUUAGGAGGCCAUGAUUAAGAAGGGCCAGUGGCAGCAAUUUGGCCAGGACACCGGGGUUACACCCCUACUCUUUACGAGAAGUGCCACAGGAUUUUUAAUGACCAGAGAGAGUCAGGACCUCAGUUUAAGGUCUCAUCCGAAACAUGGUGCUUUUUGACAGUAUAGUGUCCCC